Molecule: transfer RNA, 65 nt
Filed under: Opisthotropis kuatunensis (Chinese mountain keelback)
Lineage: Eukaryota; Metazoa; Chordata; Lepidosauria; Squamata; Natricidae
Description: tRNA-Ala
Source: RNAcentral
GGAGCUUUAGUUUAACUAAAAUAUCUGUGUUGCAAGCAGGAGAUGUAGUGAAUCUGCAAGUUCUA